GACGAACGCUGGCGGCGUGCCUAAUACAUGCAAGUGGGACGCAAGAGAACACACUGUGCUUGCACACCGUGUUUUCUUGAGUCGCGAACGGGUGAGUAACGCGUAGGUAACCUGCCUAUUAGCGGGGGAUAACUAUUGGAAACGAUAGCUAAUACCGCAUAAUAUUAAUUAUUGCAUGAUAAUUGAUUGAAAGAUGCAAGCGCAUCACUAGUAGAUGGACCUGCGUUGUAUUAGCUAGUUGGUAAGGUAAGAGCUUACCAAGGCGACGAUACAUAGCCGACCUGAGAGGGUGAUGGGCCACACUGGGACUGAGACACGGCCCAGACUCCUACGGGAGGCAGCAGUAGGGAAUCUUCGGCAAUGGACGAAAGUCUGACCGAGCAACGCCGCGUGAGUGAAGAAGGUUUUCGGAUCGUAAAGCUCUGUUGUAAGUCAAGAACGUGUGUGAGAGUGGAAAGUUCACACAGUGACGGAGCUACCAGAAAG
This 486-nucleotide ribosomal RNA is filed under the name Streptococcus mutans. Its description in RNAcentral is "bacterial SSU rRNA". It matches the Rfam family "Bacterial small subunit ribosomal RNA", at positions 28 to 490 of the family's 1533-position model. The record is from RNAcentral. Lineage: Bacteria; Bacillati; Bacillota; Bacilli; Lactobacillales; Streptococcaceae.